This 1010-nucleotide unclassified non-coding RNA is filed under the name Hevea brasiliensis (rubber tree). The record is from RNAcentral. Lineage: Eukaryota; Viridiplantae; Streptophyta; Magnoliopsida; Malpighiales; Euphorbiaceae.
AGAGAAAAUAAAAUUUUUUUAAAAAAAAAAUCUGGUUGGUAAACCCUCAUUAUAAUGCCCCAGCCACUGUCAAUGAUGCCAAGAAAAUUCUGAUGUCCUCUGAAACAACAUCAAAUAAUGUAUACAAGCUAGCAAAAGUAUGUAUCUUUCAAAAAUGCAGUCCCCUGGUGGCCAAAAAUUGCUUCUUCUGUGUCAUCAAGCAUCUUCUCCAACUACUGGCACCUUCAUUUCAAAUUAUGUUCAGGGAAACUAAGGCACCACCUUUACUUUAGCCUUCCACAGUAAGUACUUGGCAUUUUCUUGCUUGUAUCUUCUCCAUUCUCUUAAAGCCGCAAGGAGAACAUGCAUUGCAACAGGCAAGAAGAAGGGCGAGUAUACUGCAAAACAAUGCUCAAACGAGUAGUAGCUGACAGACAUAAUGGAUGGGUGGAAAAAGGCAUCUUCUGCCAAAGAUCUUGCCUGCCUUGAGGACACAGCUGAAGCAUCAUAAAAUCCAAUAGUGGAAUUAAUUUGAGCCAAUUUUGCUGAUUCCAGAGAGAACUUCACCUGCUUUCCUAUCUCAUCCAUGAUAAUCAUCCUUGGUAAUGAUUGAACCAAUCUAGACAAAGAUCCAAGGGUUGUAGCACUUGAAUGAACAUUAAAACAAGUAUGCUGCCUUGACAAGACAUCCAAUUCCCAUUCUGUGAAGCCUCUUUCACUAGUUAAUAGAUUGUAUUCACCAUAUGCACCAACAUAAAUACUCUCAGAUUUAAGACCAAAAAGUUGCCGGAACUGACCCAUGAAAACUUCAAAAACCUUGUUAAGAUCCUGUGUGGAUAUCAUAUGCCUCCUGGGAAGCUUAUCUUCUGAAACUUUUAAACAGGUUGAUGGAUUCCACACCAUAAUACCUCCCCACAUUGGAGAGAUAAAACCAUUUGUUGCAGAAAUCUGUCCAUUUGGAAGCUGUAGAAGAAGAGGGCAUUCCUUUGCAGAUGGCACAAACACCACAAAUUGCAAUAUCUUUGAUCGCC